Molecule: small nucleolar RNA, 68 nt
Organism: Copidosoma floridanum
Lineage: Eukaryota; Metazoa; Arthropoda; Insecta; Hymenoptera; Encyrtidae
Source: RefSeq, a predicted model, not a curated record
UUGUUAAAUGAUGAUAUCCAUACCGCCCCAGUCUGAGAUCUAUGACUGAUUCGGAUAACUGACCAAUU